GCGGAAAAAAACUCCCGCGGCAUGAGUUUCGCCGCCAUUUUGCAUCAGCCCUGUUUGAGUGUGAGCGCAGACACGGCGGGAUCUGGCCACUUUAUUCUCUUUCGGCUCGUUUCCCUCUGGAUUUAUCCCAACAUAAUCUGAGAUAUUACCGGACAGAUCACAAAGACAUGGCCACAGAGCAUAUAAAUGGGAAUGGUACGGAUGAACCGGUGGAUUCUUCGACUGCAAUUUCUCAUUCAGAGCACUUCCAGACGCUGCUAGACGCGGGCUUACUGAGAAAAGUUGCUGUCAAACUAGAUGAAAUUUACAUAGCAGGUCUCGUUUCACACAGUGAUCUUGAUGAUCGAGCGAUUGAAGCACUUAAAGAGUUCAACGAAGAGGGUGCGCUGCAAGUUCUCCUGCAGUUUAAAGACAGUGACCUCUCACACGUUCAAAAUAAAAGUGCCUUUCUGUGUGGCGUAAUGAAGACAUACAGACAGCGGGAGAAGCAGGGGACCAAAGUGUCAGAUUCCACCAAAGGACCAGAUGAGGCCAAAAUCAAAGCUUUGCUUGACAGAACUGGUUAUACACUUGAUGUCACGACUGGUCAAAGGAAGUAUGGUGGCCCUCCUCCGGGCUCUACCCAUGCAGGAGUACAGCCCACCGUUGGCACAGAGAUUUUUGUGGGAAAAAUCCCAAGAGAUCUGUUUGAGGAUGAGCUGGUGCCUCUGUUUGAGAAAGCUGGACCCAUAUGGGAUCUCCGUCUGAUGAUGGACCCUCUCAGUGGACUCAACAGAGGAUAUGCCUUUGUCACCUUCUGCACUAAAGAUGCUGCUCAGGAGGCAGUCAAACUCUGUAACAACAAUGAAAUUCGACCGGGUAAACACAUUGGUGUGUGCAUCUCUGUUGCCAAUAAUCGUCUUUUUGUGGGGUCAAUCCCCAAGAGCAAAACUAAGGACCAGAUAGUUGAGGAGUUUACCAAAGUGACUGAGGGCUUGAAUGAUGUCAUCUUAUACCAUCAGCCCGAUGACAAAAAGAAGAAUCGAGGCUUCUGCUUCCUAGAGUACGAGGAUCAUAAAACAGCAGCUCAGGCGCGCCGCAGGUUAAUGAGCGGUAAAGUGAAGGUUUGGGGGAAUGUGGUUACUGUAGAAUGGGCUGACCCCAUAGAAGACCCCGACCCUGAGGUCAUGGCAAAGGUCAAAGUCCUUUUUGUCAGAAAUCUUGCAAGCACAGUAACUGAAGAACUUCUAGAGACGACAUUCUGUCAGUUUGGCAAACUGGAAAGAGUUAAGAAGUUGAAAGACUACGCUUUCAUCCAUUUUGAGGAGAGAGACGGGGCUGUAAAGGCAUUGGCUGAAAUGCACGGGAAAGAUUUAGAAGGAGAACCAAUUGAAAUUGUCUUUGCAAAGCCGCCUGAUCAGAAGAGGAAAGAGCGAAAGGCCCAGAGACAAGCUGCUAAAACGCAAUUGUAUGAUGAAUAUUAUUACUACGGGCCACCACAUAUGCAUCCUCCAACAAGAGCACGAGGCAGAGGCGCUCGAGGUUAUUCAUAUCCACAAGACUAUUACAGCUAUGAAGAUUAUUAUGAUUACUACGGCUAUGACUAUCACAACUACAGAGGAGGAUAUGAUGAUCCGUACUAUGGCUACGAAGACUUUCAAGCUCACGUGAGAGGAAGAGGCAACAGAGGGGUCCGGGGCCUUUCACUGACCAGAGGCCGCGGCUCCACCGCUACCCGAGGACGAGCCGGUUUCUCUCAGCGUGGAAGUGCAGGGUUCAGCCGAGGUGGCCGUGGCUCUAGAGGAGGCUUCCAACAGAGAUGUCGACUGGUACGUGAUGCGUGGAUGGAGCAGUCUUGGAACAAUGACAGGAGGUUUUAAAACGCUGUAGGCUAGAUGUUGGUCUAUUUGGGGUAUUUUUUGUCAUGGAAAUUUGUAUUUGCCCUUUUAUCAUUGUUUUCAUGACAAAAGACCAGGUGAUCAAAAUACUUGUUUUGGCUUUUGUUUCCUCCCCUUUUCAAAUUGCUUACACAUGCAAGGCACCUUGUGGACGAAACGGACCAAAGGGAAAGGGGGUCGAGGCUGGUCCUGACCAGGUAGUAUGAAGACUGAUUGUAUGGGGGUUACACCAGAUGCUACCAGUUUUCAUAAGGUUAUGGUAGACUCCAAUGAUAUUCCAGCCUCGAUUAAAGCAUAUCUCCUGUACUGCCACUCCUGACAAACCAUAAGAGUUCUGUAGUCACAAUCUUGCACUUGCAGGGUUUUGUUAAAUAUGGAGUCCAGCUUUAAAAAAGAAAAGAAAAAAAACCUACCCCCCCUGGUUAUAAUCUCCAAGCCUAAAUAUGCCACAAUUGUUUUAAUUGAAUUUAACAUUCUCAAGGAUAUGUUAAAUGUUUUUGCACUUCUAUUUUUUUCUUUCCUACUCCUGGGUUUGAAGUGGCUCAAAGGAGCUUGAUGCUGAUGUAUAUUUUAGUGCUAACUACAAAUUUGUUGUCGGAAUAUCCAUGUAACCCAAAAUGUUUGGAUUUGGAUGGAGAACAUCUGCAGGUUUUUGGUGUAACCGCCUCGCAUGGAUAAGUCAGGCAUUCCAGGAACGUGGUUCUUUUGAGAACUAGUCUUUUAAGGGUCGGUUAACUACCUCAGUAGAGAGGAUUGAACUACCCUGCCUGUACUGUACAUAGAGACACUUAAACACAUAGGAGCAGGGCUUGUUUCUAAUGAAAUAUGCACGAGGGCAGCAGAUAAUGUAAUAUAGUCAAACGGCUGCUGCGCUCAUAUUGCAAACAGUGAAACUGGGCAAGCAAACGAGUCUCAUAUGAUGAGCUGGAACAAGCCCUGCUUUUAUCCCAUUUUCAACUGAAUUAGCUGCUUUGCUUCUUCAGAUUAUGUAGUUACUGGGUGUAUGAUUGUAUGAUAGUUUGGAUUAUAAUGUUACUUUUUGUAUUGGCUUAAACAUCUCAAAUGCAUCCGCUGCAUUUGCAAAGCCCUGCAGUAUCCUUUUUUUUUUCUUUCUAUAAAUACCAGUUCAGCUCUCUGAAGAACAAUGAAUUAUGUUCCGUUCCAUCAACUUGGAGGUUUUUAAUCAAUCAUGAACUUUGUCGAGCGAUCAUUCCCGUGGUCACAUUUACAGGCAAGAUAUGAAACGAGUUGUGUAUAAAGUGGAUACUGCAGUUUUGGUUUAUAUUCCAUAUAUAGCAAGCAAGUGACCGAACCAUUGAACCGGUUUUGUACACAGUUUACUCCCUCUCGAUAAAGCUGUAACAUUGCAACCUUUUGAAAUGAUGUAAACAGUUUUAAUCUAUUGUUGGUGGCCAACAUGUUUUUGCAUUCCAGCAAAUAAAUUGUUUUAUACUGUAAAAUGAGGUGAGUGUAACUUAUUUUUGUAAUAAAGGUUUUGAAUUCU
This is an RNA transcript of Xyrauchen texanus (razorback sucker), 3381 nucleotides long. It is a transcript of the gene named synaptotagmin binding, cytoplasmic RNA interacting protein, like, with no coding region annotated. The record is from RefSeq and is a predicted model, not a curated record. The transcript has 12 exons. Lineage: Eukaryota; Metazoa; Chordata; Actinopteri; Cypriniformes; Catostomidae.